GAUGAACGCUAGCGAUAGGCUUAACACAUGCAAGUCGAGGGGCAGCAUGGUCUUAGCUUGCUAAGACUGAUGGCGACCGGCGCACGGGUGCGUAACGCGUAUGCAACUUGCCUCACAGAGGGGGAUAACCCGUCGAAAGACGGACUAAUACCGCGUACACUUGGGAUAGGGCAUCCUGACCCAAGGAAAUGAAAUUCGCUGUGAGAUAGGCAUGCGUCCCAUUAGCUAGUUGGUGAGGUAACGGCUCACCAAGGCGACGAUGGGUAGGGGAACUGAGAGGUUGAACCCCCACACUGGUACUGAGACACGGACCAGACUCCUACGGGAGGCAGCAGUGAGGAAUAUUGGUCAAUGGGUGAGAGCCUGAACCAGCCAAGUCGCGUGAAGGAUGACUGUCUUAUGGAUUGUAAACUUCUUUUAUACGGGAAUAACAAGAGCCACGUGUGGCUCCCUGCAUGUACCGUAUGAAUAAGCAUCGGCUAACUCCGUG
This 490-nucleotide ribosomal RNA is filed under the name uncultured bacterium. RNAcentral's name for it is "partial 16S ribosomal RNA". It matches the Rfam family "Bacterial small subunit ribosomal RNA", at positions 28 to 507 of the family's 1533-position model. The record is from RNAcentral.